RNAcentral lists this ribosomal RNA (253 nucleotides) under uncultured bacterium. Its description in RNAcentral is "partial 16S ribosomal RNA". It matches the Rfam family "Archaeal small subunit ribosomal RNA", at positions 474 to 727 of the family's 1478-position model. The record is from RNAcentral.
UACCAGCACCCCGAGUGGUCGGGACGAUUAUUGGGCCUAAAGCGUCCGUAGCUGGCUUGUUAGAUGCCUGGGUAAAUCGAUGCGCUCAACGUAUCGAACUCCGGGUAGACCGGCAAGCUUGGGACCGGGAGAGGCGUGAGCUACUCGAGGGGUAGGGGUAAAAUCCUGUAAUCCUUCGGGGAGGACCAGUGGCGAAGGCGUCACGCUAGAACGGCUCCGACAGUGAGGGACGAAGCCCUGGGGCGCAAACCGG